GAUGAACGCUAGCGACAGGCCUAACACAUGCAAGUCGAGGGGCAUCGGGGUGUAGCAAUACGCUGCCGGCGACCGGCGGAUGGGUGAGUAACGCGUAUGCAACCUGCCUUCAGCAGGGGGAUAGCCCGUUGAAAGACGGAUUAAUACCCCAUAACACAGGGGCUCCGCAUGGAGAUUAUUGUUAAAGGGAUGCUUCCUUCGGGGAGUAUUCCGGCUGCAGAUGGGCAUGCGUUCCAUUAGGUAGUUGGUUGAGGUAACGGCUCACCAAGCCUACGAUGGAUAGGGGAACUGAGAGGUUGGUCCCCCACACUGGUACUGAGACACGGACCAGACUCCUACGGGAGGCAGCAGUGAGGAAUCUUGGUCAAUGGACGGAAGUCUGAACCAGCCAUGUCGCGUGAAGGAGGACGGCCCUAAGGGUUGUAAACUUCUUUUGCAGGGGAAUAAAGUAUUCCACGAGAUGGGAUAUUGCAAGUACGCUGCGAAUAAGGAUCGGCUAACUCCG
Molecule: ribosomal RNA, 505 nt
Filed under: uncultured bacterium
Lineage: Bacteria
Description: bacterial SSU rRNA
Rfam family: Bacterial small subunit ribosomal RNA
Source: RNAcentral